CAUUUGCCAUGAUCGCCAAGGGCUUAAAGGCCGGGUUAAACCCCCCAAAUCUCCUCCUUUCCACCGCCGGACAGGGUUGUCCGUGAGGGAGCUACCAUCCUACGCUCCGCCCUUGACAAGAGAAAAUAAAAGUACCGGCUUCCGGUCGGACACCGGGGACGGCUUGGGUCGAGGUCCCUGAAUCACCGUUUAAACCAGGCGAACGGGCUCUUUUUUUUGAAGGCUCGAACUUGGGGAAGGGGCCGGCUCGGCCGGGCCUUCUCAUUGAUCAGGAUCCCGUUCGGCGCCGUUUCCAUCCAACGCGCGCUCAUCCACCAGCGGAGAACUUGGCACGCCCUUCUUCCCCGGACGCGCGGAGCAGACGCCACGAGGACUUUCCUUCCGUUGACGCCUCUGGAGAGCGGCGCUUUGCUCCUUUGGAAGCAGUUUCCCACCCUUCCGAAUCAGGCGAAACAUCAGGCGAGGUUGACCGCUUAGCAUUAUUCGUCUUUCACCGCGACUUGGCCGAGCGAUCGCCGGCGGUUCGGUGGAUGGUUUCUUCCUUGAGCACCUUGGUUUGGUCCUUGCCUGUGCUCGCCUUGAAUUCUUGGCGUUUUGGUUGGUUGGGUCUGCGGCGUUGCAUGCGAGCCAGUUGAUGGCCUGGCUGAGGCGGCGGACUGGUGCGCCCGUCAUUUGUUCGAUGUAAUGUCAACGAGAGGAUUCUUGCUUCUUCCUCAAGAAAAAUUCCCUUUUUUAUCACCAAAUUCCUCUUUUUCUGUUCUUAGGACCAUGAGUUCAAUAUGAACUCAUCGAAACUGCUUCGAGUCACCGCCCAUGAAGCUGAAAAUCCUACCGAGGUGUCCCUCAGAGAGGCCUUCUUCCUCCUCCAGCCCCAACUGAAACCCCCCUUCCCUCUAUCAAUCCCCUCGCCCUCAGAAUACUCACAGCUGAAUCUUGCCAUCGCUUUCGGCAUCCUCACUGAGCCCCACCUCGCCAAAACCCACCUCACCCACCUCCAUGCCAUCGUCAUCGAUGGAUAUAACUUCUUCACCACCACCCUCCUCAAGCUCUGUAACGAGUCGUACCCCAAGCUCUUGGAAACCCCAAGAAUUCAGAUCCUCUGGCUCACUUCCAAUCUAGUCCAGGUCGCCGCCGUCCAUGUCGACUCGCUAAUUAUAUCCCUCUUGAGGCAGACUAUUGGCGGCCAUUUCUCCGAAUCCAAUUUGUGGCUGUGUGCUGAACUUGUCAAGAUCCUGUCUGAUAAUUGGGAUUGGAUAUUGGAUGAACCAUUGGUUCUUACAAGUGCAUUGUUCGUCUAUCUUCGGUUAUUGGCAGAUCACUACAGGUUGGGAGGCAGCGUGAAAUUGGAUUCAUUGAAGAGGAUGGAGAUCGAUUUCUGCAUCAAGGCGUUGAGAGAAUGCUUCAGUUUGUGUUUACAGAUAGGGAGGGACCUCGUUCGACUGCUUCAGGACUUGGUUCAUAUUCCUGAAUUCAGAGAUGUGUGGAAGGACCUCUUGUUUGAUCCUAGAAAGUUUCAAGUUUUGGGAUUUACCGAUAUUUCAGGGCUCUACCGAAUGAGAACGCCGGCACACUACUUUUUGCUGAGGAUCACGCCUGACAUGGAAGCACAUCUGCGAUUCUUGCUCACCUAUGUGAAUUGGGGGAGCCAGAAAAGAUACCAAGCUUGGUUUGCCAAGAAACACCUAUGCUGGCCUGGUAGCGAGACUGUUAUCGCUGAUAUUAUUCGGUUUAUAUGUUGUUCCCACCAUCCUCCUAAUGAGAUCAUCCAAUCUAACAUUAUCUCAAGAUGGGCAGUUGUUGGCUGGCUUCUGAAAAGCUGCAGGAGAAAUUACUUCGAGGCUAAUGCGAAGCUCGCUCUGUUUUAUGAUUGGCUGUUUUUUGAUGAGAAGGUGGAUAGUAUCAUGAACAUUGAGCCCGCAAUGCUUUUGAUGGUUAACUCUGUGCCCAAAUAUGUUGAUUUAACUCACACGCUCUUGGAGUUCUUGUUUCUGUUGGUCGACAAUUAUGAUGUUUCCAGGAAGGAAGCGAUCGUUCAUGGUGUUUCAGCGGCGCUUAAUUUACUGGUCAGAAAAGGAGUAGUUCGUUCACUGGAACCUCUGACUUCUUGUAAUUUGCUCUCGCUGUUGCUCAGAGAGAGGCUCAUUACCUUCCUCCCCAGAUCAGAUCCAGGAGUUGUUAAAGCAUCAUCUGAUACGUGUAGCCAGAGAAUGGUCACAGAUGGAGAGGUAGCUCCUGUCUUAGAAGAGAAAGGGUGAUGCAGUGCAGAAUCUAGUGAUUUGAACAACUUGAAAGAAGGUGUGCUCAGGGCAGAAAAGUAAAAUGGGACAUGUUCUAAUGUGAGGUACCACAAAUUCAACAGUGUUAAUCUACGUUGGAUGGAAAUGUGAAAGGAUCAAAGGUUUCAUUCACUAUUAACCUUAACUUUAUCAUCUUGUGGCAUUUAUGGUGCUCAAGAAAUAAGAUGAGGUGACCUUGUCUGACUUCCAUCGUUUUAGAGAAGCUGUUGGUUGUUUUGUUUCAAAGUUAAAACGAACUUGAGGUUUUGAAUUGAAUGGACAUGCAGUUUAGUGAUGUAGGAUUAUGAUUUAGACUUUUCGAUACCUUUAUUAGGUUGUAUACAUUUAGCAGAUUAUAGA
Molecule: non-coding RNA, 2636 nt
Organism: Phoenix dactylifera (date palm)
Lineage: Eukaryota; Viridiplantae; Streptophyta; Magnoliopsida; Arecales; Arecaceae
Source: RefSeq, a predicted model, not a curated record